This 253-nucleotide ribosomal RNA is filed under the name uncultured bacterium. RNAcentral's name for it is "partial 16S ribosomal RNA". It matches the Rfam family "Bacterial small subunit ribosomal RNA", at positions 524 to 776 of the family's 1533-position model. The record is from RNAcentral.
UACGAAGGGGGCUAGCGUUGUUCGGAUUUACUGGGCGUAAAGGGCGCGUAGGCGGCUUGACAAGUCACUUGUGAAAUCUCCGGGCUUAACUCGGAACGGCCAAGUGAAACUGUCAUGCUAGAGUGCAGAAGGGGCAAUCGGAAUUCCAGGUGUAGCGGUGAAAUGCGUAGAUAUCUGGAAGAACACCGGUGGCGCAAGCGGAUUGCUGGGCCAUAACUGACACUGAGGAACGAAAGCCAGGGGAGCAAACGGG